This 365-nucleotide ribosomal RNA is filed under the name uncultured Nocardioides sp. Its description in RNAcentral is "bacterial SSU rRNA". It matches the Rfam family "Bacterial small subunit ribosomal RNA", at positions 26 to 391 of the family's 1533-position model. The record is from RNAcentral. Lineage: Bacteria; Bacillati; Actinomycetota; Actinomycetes; Propionibacteriales; Nocardioidaceae.
AAGACGAACGCUGGCGGCGUGCUUAACACAUGCAAGUCGAGCGGUAAGGCCUCUUCGGGGGUACACGAGCGGCGAACGGGUGAGUAACACGUGAGUAAUCUGCCCUUCACUUCGGGAUAAGCUUCGGAAACGGGGUCUAAUACCGGAUACGACACUUUCAGGCAUCUGAUGAGUGUGGAAAGUUUUUUCGGUGGGGGAUGUGCUCGCGGCCUAUCAGCUUGUUGGUGGGGUAAUGGCCUACCAAGGCUUCGACGGGUAGCCGGCCUGANAGGGUGACCGGCCACACUGGGACUGAGACACGGCCCAGACUCCUACGGGAGGCANCAUGUGGGGAAUAUUGGACAAUGGGCGGAANCCUGAUCCAG